RNAcentral lists this ribosomal RNA (845 nucleotides) under uncultured bacterium. Its description in RNAcentral is "bacterial SSU rRNA". It matches the Rfam family "Bacterial small subunit ribosomal RNA", at positions 1 to 829 of the family's 1533-position model. The record is from RNAcentral.
UUUAGAGUUGAUUCUUGGCUCAGGACGAACGCGGCGGCCAUGCCUAAUCCAUGCAAGUCGAACGCUGAAGCACUCUGCUUGCAGAGUGGCGGAUGAGUGGCGAACGGGGUGAGUAACACGUGGGAAAAUCUGCCUAGGAGUGGGGGAUAACAUUCGGAAACGGAUGCUAAUACCGCAUAUCUUUUUGAACCGCAUGGUUCUUAAACGAAAGACGGCUUCGGCUGUCGCUCUUAGAUGAUCCCGCGGCGUAUUAGUUAGUUGGUGGGGUAAAGGCCUACCAAGACCAUGAUACGUAGCCGACCUGAGAGGGUGAUCGGCCACACUGGGACUGAGACACGGCCCAGACUCCUACGGGAGGCAGCAGUAGGGAAUCUUCCACAAUGGGUGAAAACCUGAUGGAGCAAUGCCGCGUGAAUGAAGAAGGUCUUCGGAUCGUAAAGUUCUGUUAUUAGAGAAGAACAAGUCAAGGAGUAACUGUCUUGACUUUGACGGUACCUAACCAGAAAGUCACGGCUAACUACGUGCCAGCAGCCGCGGUAAUACGUAGGUGACAAGCGUUGUCCGGAUUUAUUGGGCGUAAAGGGUUCGCAGGCCGCCUUUUAAGUCAGAUGUGAAAGAUCACAGCUUAACUGUGGUAAGCAUUUGAAACUGAAAGGCUUGAGUUAAGGAGAGGAAAGUGGAAUUCCUAGUGUAGCGGUGAAAUGCGUAGAUAUUAGGAGGAAUAUCAGUGGCGAAGGCGACUUUCUGGACUUAUACUGACGCUGAGGAACGAAAGUGUGGGUAGCAAACAGGAUUAGAUACCCUGGUAGUCCACACUGUAAACGAUGAGUGCUAGGUGUCGGGGG